AGAACGAACGCUGGCGGCAGGCCUAACACAUGCAAGUCGAACGCCCCGCAAGGGGAGUGGCAGACGGGUGAGUAACGCGUGGGAACGUGCCCUUCGGUUCGGAAUAACUCAGGGAAACUUGAGCUAAUACCGGAUACGUCCGUAAGGAGAAAGAUUUAUCGCCGAAGGAUCGGCCCGCGUCGGAUUAGCUAGUUGGUGAAGUAACGGCCCACCAAGGCGACGAUCCGUAGCUGGUCUGAGAGGAUGAUCAGCCACACUGGGACUGAGACACGGCCCAGACUCCUACGGGAGGCAGCAGUGGGGAAUAUUGGACAAUGGGCGAAAGCCUGAUCCAGCCAUGCCGCGUGAGUGAAGAAGGCCUUAGGGUGUAAAGCUCUUUCAGCGGGGAAGAUAAUGACGGUACCGCAGAAGAAGUCCCGGCUAACUUCGUGCCAGCAGCCGC
RNAcentral lists this ribosomal RNA (442 nucleotides) under uncultured bacterium. RNAcentral's name for it is "SSU rRNA". It matches the Rfam family "Bacterial small subunit ribosomal RNA", at positions 26 to 518 of the family's 1533-position model. The record is from RNAcentral.